GCCAGAGUGGCGGAAUUGGUAGACGCAGCGGAUUCAAAAUCCGCCGCCAGUAAUGGUGUGCCGGUUCAAGUCCGGCCUCUGGUACCA
This 87-nucleotide transfer RNA is filed under the name Aliiglaciecola lipolytica. Its description in RNAcentral is "tRNA-Leu". It matches the Rfam family "tRNA". From Rfam's summary of the family: Transfer RNA (tRNA) molecules are approximately 80 nucleotides in length. RNAcentral also lists the same sequence under 10 other names. The record is from RNAcentral. Lineage: Bacteria; Pseudomonadati; Pseudomonadota; Gammaproteobacteria; Alteromonadales; Alteromonadaceae.